Long non-coding RNA from Gasterosteus aculeatus aculeatus (three-spined stickleback), 483 nucleotides. The record is from Ensembl. Lineage: Eukaryota; Metazoa; Chordata; Actinopteri; Perciformes; Gasterosteidae.
GUUAGUAGGUCCUGUCUGCCGUUUUUCCCCUGAUUCCUGUGUGUUUUUGGCCUUUUGACUAUUAAAGUCUUUUUCCUGCCUCCUCCACGCAUCCCUUGACAGUUCACUGUCCAUAGGCCCUCCGGAAACUCAUUUUCCCUUCAGCGAUGAUUGAUUCCCCCCACGAUCCAAGUUGAUGGCAAGUCUCCUGGGAUCCACUGGGGUGUUAGACGUAUUAACACAGAGACCUACAGCGACGGAGCAGUGCCCUACCCAAACCCAAUUACCACGGAAGUAGGUGCGAUCCCGGUGAUUGGGUUCCACCUGCGCCAAUCAAACAACAGGGCGGGGCUCGGAAAUUAAAAGGAGGGAGACGAGGCUGAUGCUGAUCUGCGUGAAUGAAUGUGGACGUUGUGUUGUGAAGGUUUGUGGAGGACCAGGUGAGUCUCAGGUACUCUAUACGUUGCUAUUGAGAUAUCUGACAAGGAAAGUAAAUUGUGUAAA